This 74-nucleotide transfer RNA is filed under the name Acidimicrobiia bacterium. Its description in RNAcentral is "tRNA-Pro". It matches the Rfam family "tRNA". From Rfam's summary of the family: Transfer RNA (tRNA) molecules are approximately 80 nucleotides in length. Their secondary structure includes four short double-helical elements and three loops (D, anti-codon, and T loops). Further hydrogen bonds mediate the characteristic L-shaped molecular structure. tRNAs have two regions of fundamental functional importance: the anti-codon, which is responsible for specific mRNA codon recognition, and the 3' end, to which the tRNAs corresponding amino acid is attached (by aminoacyl-tRNA synthetases). tRNAs cope with the degeneracy of the genetic code in two manners: having more than one tRNA (with a specific anti-codon) for a particular amino acid; and 'wobble' base-pairing, i.e. permitting non-standard base-pairing at the 3rd anti-codon position. The record is from RNAcentral. Lineage: Bacteria; Bacillati; Actinomycetota; Acidimicrobiia. RNAcentral also lists the same sequence under 3 other names.
CGGGACGUGGCGCAGCCUGGUAGCGCACCGGCUUUGGGAGCCGGGGGCCGCGAGUUCGAAUCUCGCCGUCCCGA